This 2430-nucleotide long non-coding RNA is filed under the name Capra hircus (goat). Its description in RNAcentral is "lncRNA (ENSCHIG00010022170.1)". Lineage: Eukaryota; Metazoa; Chordata; Mammalia; Artiodactyla; Bovidae. The record is from RNAcentral.
UGGGGUCGCAGAGUCAGACACGACUGAGUGACUGAACUGAACUGAGGCAGGUAACACAGAUUCCAUUCUAAACUUUGUUUCUCCUCCAUCACCCAAACAUUUCUGUGGGAUUGUGAUACAACACAUUCACAAUCUGAAAUGCCCUCCAGCCACGUUACCUCAAGGGACAGGUAGGGCGGCCGUGUAAAGUGCAGAGAAGUCCCCCCGGAAGCCCCUCCCACAGCAGACGGCCAGCAGUAAUUUAACUACAACACCAAAGUGAAUGGAAGCCUCAUAAAUACAACUCAGUGAACCCAGACUAAACACAUCCUGAACUUAUCUUCCCCUUAGCUGGGUCCCCACAAAUCCUCUCACCUUCUCUAAGGCCACUCAAUGCAGCAGAAAUCUAUAGCCAAGGAAAUCAGAGCAGAGAGACAGACAGCUUAACAAUCACGGUUAAAGGAUCUGACUUUUGUAAUUUUACCAAACAUAUCGCCUCAUGGAUGUAAUGCUACGGUUCCCACCCUCAGAUCCUUGGAAAGGGUUAUACAAGUUUCACUGGGACCUAAAACUUCUUUUGCUUCCUGGUAAUCCCCUCUGAGUCAACCUCCAGCAUGAAGCACCACAUUUCCCCUGAGAUAUCUCAAGGGGAACCAGAGUGCUUUCCGGCACCGCCAACCAGAAUGCUUUCCAGCGGACCCACUCUCCACUCUCGAGGAUAUCCUUGGGGCAGAGAAGUGAUGUCAGGGCCACGGAAGGAAAGAGCUGACAUUAUCUAAUUGCUAAAGUGAUGCAUCCAUUGAGAACACUGAAAACAAUGGAGGAAGAGUUGGAAAUGAGGCUGGAGCAGUGGUCCGGGCUCAGAUUACACAUAGCUAUGAGAAAACCAAGGUUCAGAAGGAUUAGGCUAGUUACUCAGGUAGAGUGCCAACAGNNNNNCCUGGAUGUGACUGGAAUCACUGCUCCCGUCAAGAAUAUCUCACAGGGCAAGUGUGGGGCCUCAACUGGGAUAUCUCCUUUCUGCACAAAGAAGGUUAUGGCUGUUUCAGAAGCUAACCAACUUCCAUCAGAUGAGAUCCAGAUGGGAUUUCUGCUCAGCUAUGGAGUGAGAGUUGGUUCUGAGUGGUUUUUCUGCAGGAAACCCACUGCAGAGUGACGCAAGGAUCACAGCAAGGGUGGGAAGGUCUGAUCUAGGAAAGCAACUCCAGCCCUGGUUAAUCCCAGCUCCACAGAACCACUGAGACCCCACCACCACCGCACCACCACCCCACCACUUCAGGGUGCUCUUCCCCAUCAACCAGUUCUACCUCGGGCUUGGCUAAUAUCCUGAUUCAUCCUGCGAAGCGUGCCAAGCAAAACCCUGCUCUAAAUCAUAAAGUUCUUCCAGAAUACAAUGAGCAAAGUCCCGGAUCAGGACAGGGGUGAUGGACUUCUAAGCAAAGAGUUUGAUCCCUGACAAACACUCAUGGAUGGGCUCAUCCAUACUCUCACACACUCUCCCAUUCAGGACCUCUCUGAUGUCUUUUCUCUGCCCCAAACCUAUGUUUUUCUCUAGUCCAGUGAGGGAAGCCAAUAGGGGGUCCACCUCCCUCAUCCUACAGGACUUUGCUCAGGUAGAUACUGGCCUGCAAAGUUCCCAGGACAUCAGCAGGUCUGGGCCAGACCAGAGGGAAGGGACCGGCUCUCUGGAGUCCUCUGUUUCUUCCUGGGUUAGGCUUUGUGCCCAGGGUUUUGUUGCUGUUAUUGUUUUGGCCACACCAAGCAGCAUGCAGAAUCUUUGUUCCCCAACCAGGAUCAAACCCCAUGCCCCCUGAGGCAGAAGCAUGGCAUCCUAACCACUGGACUGCUAGGGAAAUCCCAGUGUCCGGGUUUUUACGGCCAGGGUGUCUGUCUAACCAUGAAGGACCACAGCGAGAAAUGCUCCGUGUGCUUCCAGCCCCCCACCACUCUCCAUUAGUCUUGUGAACUAAUGGGAAUUCUGGCCACAAAAUAGCCGGAUCAAAGGCUAGUUGGGACACCCAGUCUAUGGCCCAAGGUACUCUGGCUUAAAAGCCAGAUGUCCUUCCUGGACACUCCUGGCCUGUCAGCAUGGAACAUCUUGAUCACACAACCCUUGCCCCUAGUGUUGCCUGUUGNNNNNNNNNNNNNNNNNNNNNNNNNNNNNNNNNNNNNNNNNNNNNNNNNNNNNNNNNNNNNNNNNNNNNNNNNNNNNNNNNNNNNNNNNNNNNNNNNNNNNCCCUACAUUCCUCUCCCUCUCAAAUGCAGCAAGCACAGUCUCUUUCUCCUGCCGCUGUCUCCAAUGUCACUUGGGAAUCGUAACCUGGGCUAGGUACCAAUACUAAGCAUAAUUAGCUCCUGGAGGAGGAGGGGCCGGUGGCAUAGGUCAAGUCAGACCAGGAGAGGGAGGGGGCCCAGGAGGGAGGUGGGAGGCCCUGGUGCAAUUGCUCCCCA